UCAAUAAGCGGAGGAAAAGAAACCAACCGGGAUUGCCCUAGUAACGGCGAGUGAAGCGGCAAGAGCUCAAAUUUGAAAGCUGGCCCCCUCGGGGUCCGCAUUGUAAUUUGCAGAGGAUGCUUCGGGAGCGGUCCCCAUCUAAGUGCCCUGGAACGGGCCGUCAUAGAGGGUGAGAAUCCCGUAUGGGAUGGGGUGUCCGCGCCCGUGUGAAGCUCCUUCGACGAGUCGAGUUGUUUGGGAAUGCAGCUCUAAUUGGGUGGUAAAUUUCAUCUAAAGCUAAAUAUUGGCCGGAGACCGAUAGCGCACAAGUAGAGUGAUCGAAAGAUGAAAAGCACUUUGAAAAGAGAGUUAAACAGCACGUGAAAUUGUUGAAAGGGAAGCGCUUGCGAUCAGACUCGCUCGCGGGGUUCAGCCGGCCUUCGGGCCGGUGUACUUCCCCGCGGGCGGGCCAGCGUCGGUUUGGGCGGCCGGUCAAAGGCCCCUGGAAUGUAACGCCUCUCGGGGCGUCUUAUAGCCAGGGGUGCCAUGCGGCCUGCCCGGACCGAGGAACGCGCUUCGGCUCGGACGCUGGCAUAAUGGUCGUAAGCGACCCGUCUUGAAACACGGACCAAGGAGUCUAACAUCUACGCGAGUGUUCGGGUGUCAAACCCGUGCGCGCAGUGAAAGCGAACGGAGGUGGGAACCCCUCGGGGUGCACCAUCGACCGAUCCUGAUGUCUUCGGAUGGAUUUGAGUAAGAGCGUAGCUGUUGGGACCCGAAAGAUGGUGAACUAUGCCUGAAUAGGGCGAAGCCAGAGGAAACUCUGGUGGAGGCUCGCAGCGGUUCUGACGUGCAAAUCGAUCGUCAAAUUUGGGUAUAGGGGCGAAAGACUAAUCGAACCAUCUAGUAGCUGGUUCCUGCC
RNAcentral lists this ribosomal RNA (901 nucleotides) under Penicillium sp. NRRL 28148. Its description in RNAcentral is "LSU rRNA". It matches the Rfam family "Eukaryotic large subunit ribosomal RNA", at positions 43 to 962 of the family's 3401-position model. Lineage: Eukaryota; Fungi; Ascomycota; Eurotiomycetes; Eurotiales; Aspergillaceae. The record is from RNAcentral.